RNAcentral lists this ribosomal RNA (301 nucleotides) under Carcharhinus melanopterus (blacktip reef shark). RNAcentral's name for it is "partial 12S ribosomal RNA". It matches the Rfam family "Bacterial small subunit ribosomal RNA", at positions 505 to 916 of the family's 1533-position model. Lineage: Eukaryota; Metazoa; Chordata; Chondrichthyes; Carcharhiniformes; Carcharhinidae. The record is from RNAcentral.
UUGCCAGCCGCCGCGGUUAUACGAGUAACUCAUAUUAACACACCCCGGCGUAAAGAGUGAUUAAAGAAUGACCUCUAACUACUAAAGUUUAGACCUCAUAAAACUGUUAUACGUAUCCAUGAGUGGAAUAAACAACAACGAAAGUGACUUUAUAUAUUAAGGAACCUUGAUGUCACGACAGUUGGGACCCAAACUAGGAUUAGAUACCCUACUAUGCCCAACCACAAACUUAAACAACAUCCCACUAUAUUGUUCGCCAGAGUACUACAAGCGCUAGCUUAAAACCCAAAGGACUUGGCGG